RNAcentral lists this ribosomal RNA (499 nucleotides) under uncultured bacterium. RNAcentral's name for it is "partial 16S ribosomal RNA". It matches the Rfam family "Bacterial small subunit ribosomal RNA", at positions 30 to 523 of the family's 1533-position model. The record is from RNAcentral.
AUUGAACGCUGGCGGAAUGCUUUACACAUGCAAGUCGAACGGCAGCACGGACUUCGGUCUGGUGGCGAGUGGCGAACGGGUGAGUAAUGUAUCGGAACGUGCCCAGUCGUGGGGGAUAACGUAGUGAAAAUUACGCUAAUACGGCAUACGAUCUAUGGAUGAAAGCGGGGGAUCGCAAGACCUCGCGCGAUUGGAGCGGCCGAUAUCCGAUUAGGUAGUUGGUGGGGUAAGGGCCCACCAAGCCAACGAUCUGUAGCUGGUCUGGGAGGACGACCAGCCACACUGGAACUGAGACACGGUCCAGACUCCUACGGGAGGCAGCAGUGGGGAAUUUUGGACAAUGGGCGAAAGCCUGAUCCAGCCAUUCCGCGUGCAGGAUGAAGGCCCUCGGGUUGUAAACUGCUUUUGUACAGAACGAAAAGGUUUCUACUAAUACUAGGAGCUCAUGACGGUACUGUAAGAAUAAGCACCGGCUAACUACGUGCAGCAGCCGCAGUAA